Molecule: unclassified non-coding RNA, 292 nt
Filed under: Hevea brasiliensis (rubber tree)
Lineage: Eukaryota; Viridiplantae; Streptophyta; Magnoliopsida; Malpighiales; Euphorbiaceae
Source: RNAcentral
GACGGUGUGGACUUGCUUUCUCUGCUGCUAGGAGGUUCUUACGAAUACCAGGCCAAAAGCUGAUGAAAGCAUUGAGCCGAAUCAAAGAUCAGAUGGGCAAGGGCUGAGAUGUGUGAGCAUGGCAUGGCAUGGCAUGGCAUCCUCUCUGCUUUUCGGGUUAGAAGGAACUGGACGUCUUGCAAAUUGUUUAUGACCGUCAUCCUCCCUAGAGGUGGUCAUCGCCAAAUUUGGAAUCGGAAUAAGGUCAGAUUGAUUCAAUUUGAAACUGAAAAUUAAUUAAAUUUAAAUUGAU